GGCAUUUGAGGUGGUCAACUUCGUGGCAAUCACAUGCCGAUGGUACUGACAGGCGAAAGCCGAGAGAUGCGGGAGAAUGGGACGCCCGCCAAAUGCC
RNAcentral lists this non-coding RNA (97 nucleotides) under unclassified sequences. RNAcentral's name for it is "skipping-rope RNA". It matches the Rfam family "skipping-rope RNA". Rfam says of the family: Firmicutes, Fusobacteria, AlphaProteobacteria, Spirochaetes. Downstream gene The record is from RNAcentral.